This 500-nucleotide ribosomal RNA is filed under the name uncultured Pedobacter sp. RNAcentral's name for it is "partial 16S ribosomal RNA". Lineage: Bacteria; Pseudomonadati; Bacteroidota; Sphingobacteriia; Sphingobacteriales; Sphingobacteriaceae. The record is from RNAcentral.
CACGGAGUUAGCCGAUCCUUAUUCCUUCGGUACAUUCAGCUACUUACACGUAAGUAGGUUUAUUCCCGAAUAAAAGCAGUUUACAACCCAGAGGGCCGUCAUCCUGCACGCGGCAUGGCUGGUUCAGAGUUCCCUCCAUUGACCAAUAUUCCUUACUGCUGCCUCCCGUAGGAGUCUGGUCCGUGUCUCAGUACCAGUGUGGGGGGUCAUCCUCUCAGAUCCCCUAGACAUCGUGGUCUUGGUGGGCCGUUACCCCGCCAACUAACUAAUGUCACGCAUGCCCAUCUUAAUCCUAUAAAUAUUUGAACAUUGGAUAAUGCUAUCCUGUGUUUUAUGCGGUCUUAAUCCGAAUUUCUUCGGGCUAUCCCCCUGAUUAAGGUAGGUUGCAUACGCGUUACGCACCCGUGCGCCACUUUCUUAUCCAGCAAGCUGGAUAAUAUCGUUCGACUUGCAUGUAUUAGGCCUGCCGCUAGCGUUCAUCCUGAGCCAGGAUCAAACUC